UUCAAUAUGGCAGAUUAGUGCAAUGAAUUUAAACUUCAUAUAUAAAGAUAAAUCUUUUAUUGAAA
Molecule: transfer RNA, 65 nt
Filed under: Alloeorhynchus bakeri
Lineage: Eukaryota; Metazoa; Arthropoda; Insecta; Hemiptera; Nabidae
Description: tRNA-Leu
Source: RNAcentral